UCUGCCGCGGCCGGGAAGUUCGAACAGAAGUCUGGGGAAGAGCCGGCGAAGAGCAAAGAGAUAAUACAGUACUCCCAGCUAUAGCAAGCGGCAGUUAUGGAGCAUGCGCAGCAGCAGGGGCGGCCGCAGGUCGCCGUUCAAUAAUACUCAAGGGAUUUGUACAGCCCUGUAGGAGACACCUCCAGAGAAAGUAACAGCUCUCAAUUGAUUAGCUGAGAGAGCAGAGAAGAGGAGAAGCAGCUGGAUGUCAGAGACUGCAGUUUGACGUUGGAGAAAAGCAGCUUGACUUCAGAGGGACAGCUUGACAGCAUGGAUUCAGAGAGGAGAAGAUCACCUUCCUGCUCCGUCCCCUUUCCAGCUCCCUUUCCCACUGAGAGCCACUUACACAGGCAAUAAAAUCCUCUG
RNAcentral lists this long non-coding RNA (405 nucleotides) under Homo sapiens (human). RNAcentral's name for it is "HSALNT0308268". The record is from RNAcentral. Lineage: Eukaryota; Metazoa; Chordata; Mammalia; Primates; Hominidae.